RNAcentral lists this ribosomal RNA (1366 nucleotides) under Anindobothrium lisae. RNAcentral describes it as "SSU rRNA". It matches the Rfam family "Eukaryotic small subunit ribosomal RNA", at positions 554 to 1696 of the family's 1831-position model. The record is from RNAcentral. Lineage: Eukaryota; Metazoa; Platyhelminthes; Cestoda; Phyllobothriidea; Phyllobothriidae.
GGCAAGUCUGGUGCCAGCAGCCGCGGUAACUCCAGCUCCAAUAGCGUAUAUUAAAGUUGCUGCAGUUAAAAAGCUCGUAGUUGGAUCUCGGUAUCACUGUUGCCUGUCAGUCUUGUGCAGUAUGGCUACUGGUGCAUGGGAAUGCCUGUGUUGCCGUAGCCGGCUGUUGCGAGCUGGCGUGGUGUCGGUGUCACCUUUCAGCCAUGUCUGUGGUGAAAUACCCGCAGGUGUAGGCGAGUGUCAGGCGGCGCCCUGCGACAGCAAGGUCCGUCGGCUCGUUUGCAUGCCUGUGGAUGCCCUUUAAAAGGUGUCCAUGGGCGGAUGGCACGUUUACUUUGAACAAAUUUGAGUGCUCAAACCAGGCCGAUGUUGCCUGAAAAGUUUUGCAUGGAAUAAUGGAAUAGGACUUCGGUUCUAUUUCGUUGGUUUUCGGAUCCGGAGUAAUGAUCAAAAGAGACAGGCGGGGACGUUUGUAUGGCUGCGCUAGAGGUGAAAUUCAUGGACCGCAGGCAGACAAACUAAAGCGAAAGCAUUCGUCAAGCAUGUUUUCAUUGACCAUGAGCGAAAGUCAGAGGCUCGAAGACGAUCAGAUACCGUCCUAGUUCUGACCAUAAACGAUGCCAACUGACGAUCCGUGGUGGUAGUAUUUAAACCUUCCCCACGGGCAGUCCCCGGGAAACCAUUAAGUCUUUGGGUUCCGGGGGAAGUAUGGUUGCAAAGCUGAAACUUAAAGGAAUUGACGGAAGGGCACCACCAGGAGUGGAGCCUGCGGCUUAAUUUGACUCAACACGGGAAAACUCACCCGGCCCGGACACUGUGAGGAUUGACAGAUUGAGAGCUCUUUCUUGAUUCAGUGGUUGGUGGUGCAUGGCCGUUCUUAGUUGGUGGAGCGAUUUGUCUGGUUAAUUCCGAUAACGAACGAGACUCCAGCCUGCUAAUUAGUGCAUCUGUCCACUGUUCCUGUGUAGGCGGCGUUCGACAAGGCUGCUUGCUGCUUAUGGGGUUGGCUUUCGGGUUGGCCCUGUGGGUGGUAGGUGGUUAGCUCAGCGUUAGCUUCCGGGUACGGCGCGGAUGUAUACUUCUUAGAGGGACACGCGGGAGAAGCCGCACGAAAUUGAGCAAUAACAGGUCUGUGAUGCCCUUAGAUGUCCGGGGCCGCACGCGCGCUACAAUGACGGUGCCAACGAGUCUGACCUUCUGGCCCGAAAGGGUUGGGCAAACUGGUCAAUCACCGUCAUGACAGGGAUCGGGGCUUGGAAUUGUUCCCCGUGAACGAGGAAUUCCUAGUAAGUGCAAGUCAUAAGCUUGCGCUGAUUACGUCCCUGCCCUUUGUACACACCGCCCGUCGCUACUACCGAUUGAAUGG